CUUAAAAAUUACGAAAUCACUCAUGAUUUACUUUCUUUGUUUCGGUUAUGUUGUAUUUUUUUAUUCUUCUGACACAUAUGCGAAGCUCAUGUGUUCGGAAGAAUAAAUUGAUUUGUUUGCGAUAUUUUCUAGCGCAAAAUUCCACCUAAAUAAUAGGGCAACGAGCAGUAAAAUGCAACGGUAUUCAAUAAAUAUUUACGUAGUACAAUUUGCAUCAUUUGAUGAAUAAGUUUUCAUUAUGACUGACUGACUGACUGACUGACUCGUGUGAAUUUUCGCCACUUACAAUAAUACUGCAAAGCUCCUAUGAAAACAUUACACUAAAAGUAAGGCGCUAUGAUGUAUUUAUGAUGUAUUCUUAAAUACGCGACACUCUAUCAGUAUUGAUUUGCAGUUGAUCGCUGGAAGUGAUAAAUUAAAA
Xenia sp. Carnegie-2017 is the source of this 421-nucleotide long non-coding RNA. RefSeq lists it as uncharacterized. NCBI's taxonomy places the organism in Eukaryota, Metazoa, Cnidaria, Anthozoa, Malacalcyonacea, Xeniidae. The record is from RefSeq and is a predicted model, not a curated record. The transcript has 2 exons.